RNAcentral lists this ribosomal RNA (567 nucleotides) under Leucosporidium scottii. Its description in RNAcentral is "partial large subunit ribosomal RNA". It matches the Rfam family "Eukaryotic large subunit ribosomal RNA", at positions 92 to 657 of the family's 3401-position model. The record is from RNAcentral. Lineage: Eukaryota; Fungi; Basidiomycota; Microbotryomycetes; Leucosporidiales; Leucosporidiaceae.
AGUGAGCGGGAAGAGCUCAAAUUUGUAAUCUGGCACUUUCAGUGUCCGAGUUGUAAUCUCGAGAAGUAUUUUCCGCGCCGGACCGCAUACAAGUCUGUUGGAAUACAGCGUCAUAGUGGUGAGAACCCCGUAACUGAUGCGGAUGCCCGGUGCUUUGUGAUAUACUUUCGAAGAGUCGAGUUGUUUGGGAAUGCAGCUCAAAUUGGGUGGUAAAUUCCAUCUAAAGCUAAAUAUUGGAGCAAGACCGAUAGCGAACAAGUACCGUGAGGGAAAGAUGAAAAGCACUUUGGAAAGAGAGUUAACAGUACGUGAAAUUGUUGGAAGGGAAACGCUUGAAGUCAGACUUGCUAUUCGGAGUUCAGCCGCAAGGUGUAUUCUUCGAUUUGCAGGCCAGCAUCAGUUUUUGGGGGUGGAAAAUCGUGGUUUGAAGGUAGCAGUUUCGGCUGUGUUAUAGCUUUCCACUGGAUUCAUCUUCGGGGACUGAGGAACGCAGUACGCUUUUUGCAAGGCUCUCGAGCUUUUCGUACUUAGGAUGCUGGUGGAAUGGCUUUAAACGACCCGUCUUGA